GGCCUACCAUGGUGGUAACGGGUAACGGGGUGUUAGGGCACGACACCGGAGAGGGAGCCUGAGAAACGGCUACCACAUCCAAGGAUGGCAGCAGGCGCGCAAAUUACCCAAUCCCGACACGGGGAGGUAGUGACAAUAAAUAACAAUACGGGGUUCUUUAGGAUCUCGUAAUUGGAAUGAGUACAAUUUAAAUCUCUUAACGAGGAACAAUUGGAGGGCAAGUCUGGUGCCAGCAGCCGCGGUAAUUCCAGCUCCAAUAGCGUAUAUUAAAGUUGUUGCAGUUAAAAAGCUCGUAGUUGAAUUUCGGGAUCAAUUUAUUGGUCGUGCUAUUGUACGUACUGGUAUUAUUGGUUCCUACCUUCUGACGAACCAUGAUGUCAUUAAUUUGGUGUCAUGGGGAAUCAGGACUGUUACUUUGAAAAAAUUAGAGUGUUUAAAGCAGGCUCACGCUUGAAUACAUUAGCAUGGAAUAACGAAAUAGGACGUUUGAUUCUAUUUUGUUGGUUUCUAGGAUCGACGUAAUGAUUAAUAGGGAUAGUUGGGGGCAUUAGUAUUCAAUUGUCAGAGGUGAAAUUCUUAGAUUUAUUGAAGACUAACUACUGCGAAAGCAUUUGCCAAGGAUGUUUUCAUUAAUCAAGAACGAAAGUUAGGGGAUCGAAGACGAUCAGAUACCGUCGUAGUCUUAACCAUAAACUAUGCCGACUAGGGAUCGGAUGAUGUUAAUUUUUUAAUGACUCAUUCGGCGCCUUACG
Molecule: ribosomal RNA, 752 nt
Filed under: uncultured Glomus
Lineage: Eukaryota; Fungi; Glomeromycota; Glomeromycetes; Glomerales; Glomeraceae
Description: SSU rRNA
Rfam family: Eukaryotic small subunit ribosomal RNA
Source: RNAcentral